This is a long non-coding RNA of Ornithorhynchus anatinus (platypus), 822 nucleotides long. RefSeq lists it as uncharacterized. The transcript is spliced from 3 exons. NCBI's taxonomy places the organism in Eukaryota, Metazoa, Chordata, Mammalia, Monotremata, Ornithorhynchidae. The record is from RefSeq and is a predicted model, not a curated record.
CCUAAUUAUAUUUCUCUUUAUAAUCUGUGCUCUCCAGUUAAGUAAUGUAAUUGAUCGCUCCUGAAAAAUAUCAUUAAUUCCAAAAUGGUCCAGAAGUGUUUUGUCAUGCAAUUUCUUCUCCUCCUCCCUCCUCCCCCCUGUUAGGGAUUAUUGAGAUGACUCAUAUAUCAGAAACGAGCCAGUAUGCCAGACAGCGGACUGUAGAGUGAGAGCCAGAGAGAAAGAGAGCGAGAGAAAGAGAGAAAGAAAAAGAGAGCAUGCUUUAGGACAGACAAGAAAUGAACAGGAAAGAAAAAAUUUUAAAGCUUCCAGGGUCUGCAGAGGUAUAGCAACUGUUGCAACUUCUGUUCCUCUCUGAUCUAAGGCUGCAUGUAGAAGUCUGUUUGGGGAUUAACCAGAGAAGAGAGCCGUUCCGUAUGAGAAACAGUGUGGCUGACGGAAAGAGCACUGGAGUGGGGGGACCUGGGUUCUAAUCCUGACUCCGUCACUUGCAUGCUGUGUAACCUGGGGGCUGACUUGAUUUCUUCUUUUGUGCUGACCUGACAUUAUUCUCAGAGAAGAAAGAAUGAUGCAUUAACACAUCCCUUAUCCAUCUCAAGGAAGAGUGAACGGGAGAGAAGAUGGACCCAAAAACGGGCAUCUUGUCCCUUAACUAUCAUGGCAGUAGAGCCGAGAGCUCCCUCGGUCGUUCUGGAAGUUUCUGUAUUCAUUUUUCCCAGGAAGCAGAUAAUGUGACACACCGCCACACACCCCCCCCCCCCCGCCACACACACACAAACCCCCACAACAGUGGCAGAAGAGAUGGGAAUGAUUCUUGUUCAG